This 433-nucleotide ribosomal RNA is filed under the name uncultured bacterium. RNAcentral's name for it is "partial 16S ribosomal RNA". It matches the Rfam family "Bacterial small subunit ribosomal RNA", at positions 29 to 507 of the family's 1533-position model. The record is from RNAcentral.
AACGAACGCUGGCGGCAUGCCUAACACAUGCAAGUCGAACGAGACCUUCGGGUCUAGUGGCGCACGGGUGCGUAACGCGUGGGAACCUGCCCUUAGGUUCGGAAUAACUCCCCGAAAGGGGUGCUAAUACCGGAUAAUGUCUUCGGACCAAAGAUUUAUCGCCUUUGGAUGGGCCCGGGUUGGAUUAGCUAGUUGGUAGGGUAAAAGCCUACCAAGGCGACGAUCCAUAGCUGGUCUGAGAGGAUGAUCAGCCACACUGGGACUGAGACACGGCCCAGACUCCUACGGGAGGCAGCAGUGGGGAAUAUUGGACAAUGGGCGAAAGCCUGAUCCAGCAAUGCCGCGUGAGUGAUGAAGGCCUUAGUGUUGUAAAGCUCUUUUACCCGGGAUGAUAAUGACAGUACCGGGAGAAUAAGCUCCGGCUAACUCCGUG